Molecule: ribosomal RNA, 549 nt
Filed under: uncultured bacterium
Lineage: Bacteria
Description: partial 16S ribosomal RNA
Rfam family: Bacterial small subunit ribosomal RNA
Source: RNAcentral
UGGGGAAUUUUGGACAAUGGGCGAAAGCCUGAUCCAGCAAUGCCGCGUGUGUGAAGAAGGCCUUCGGGUUGUAAAGCACUUUUGUCCGGAAAGAAAUCCUUGGCUCUAAUACAGUCGGGGGAUGACGGUACCGGAAGAAUAAGCACCGGCUAACUACGUGCCAGCAGCCGCGGUAAUACGUAGGGUGCAAGCGUUAAUCGGAAUUACUGGGCGUAAAGCGUGCGCAGGCGGUUUGCUGAGACCGAUGUGAAAUCCCCGGGCUCAACCUGGGAACUGCAUUGGUGACUGGCAGGCUAGAGUAUGGCAGAGGGGGGUAGAAUUCCACGUGUAGCAGUGAAAUGCGUAGAGAUGUGGAGGAAUACCGAUGGCGAAGGCGAGCCCCCUGGGCCAAUACUGACGCUCAUGCACGAAAGCGUGGGGAGCAAACAGGAUUCAGAUACCCUGGUAGUCCACGCCCUAAACGAUGUCAACUAGUUGUUGGGGAUUCAUUUCCUUAGUAACGUAGCUAACGCGUGAAGUUGACCGCCUGGGGAGUACGGUCGCAAGAUU